UCAAGUAAUGAUGAUUGGCAAACAUUUUCAACUGCUCUGAAUUGUGAAUGAAUCAUGCCCAUUCUGAGCAUAC
Hucho hucho (huchen) is the source of this 73-nucleotide small nucleolar RNA. NCBI's taxonomy places the organism in Eukaryota, Metazoa, Chordata, Actinopteri, Salmoniformes, Salmonidae. The record is from Ensembl.